CGGAACGGGUGGAGUAACGCGUGAGGAACCUGCCUCAAAGAGGGGGACAGCAGUUGGAAACGACUGCUAAUACCGCAUAAGCCCACGGGUCGGCAUCGACCAGAGGGAAAAGGAGCAAUCCGCUUUGAGAUGGCCUCGCGUCUGAUUAGCUAGAUGGUGAGGUAACGGCCCACCAUGGCGACGAUCGGUAGCCGGACUGAGAGGUUGAACGGCCACAUUGGGACUGAGACACGGCCCAGACUCCUACGGGAGGCAGCAUG
This 260-nucleotide ribosomal RNA is filed under the name uncultured bacterium. Its description in RNAcentral is "partial 16S ribosomal RNA". It matches the Rfam family "Bacterial small subunit ribosomal RNA", at positions 98 to 353 of the family's 1533-position model. The record is from RNAcentral.